This 1481-nucleotide ribosomal RNA is filed under the name uncultured bacterium. RNAcentral describes it as "16S ribosomal RNA". It matches the Rfam family "Bacterial small subunit ribosomal RNA". The record is from RNAcentral.
GAGUUUGAUCAUGGCUCANCGAUGAACGCUGGCGGUCUGCUUAACACAUGCAAGUCGAACGAACUCUUCGGAGUGAGUGGCGGACGGGUGAGUAACGCGUGAGAAUCUGCCUGUGGGUCGGGGACAACCACUGGAAACGGUGGCUAAUACCGGAUGAGCCGAAAGGUAAAAGAUUUAUUGCCCACAGAUGAGCUCGCGUCUGAUUAGCUAGUUGGUAAGGUAAAAGCGUACCAAGGCGACGAUCAGUAGCUGGUCUGAGAGGAUGAGCAGCCACACUGGGACUGAGACACGGCCCAGACUCCUACGGGAGGCAGCAGUGGGGAAUUUUCCGCAAUGGGCGAAAGCCUGACGGAGCAAGACCGCGUGGGGGAGGAAGGUUUUUGGAUCGUAAACCCCUUUUGUCAAGGAAGAAGCUCUGACGGUACUUGACGAAUAAGCCUCGGCUAACUCCGUGCCAGCAGCCGCGGUAAUACGGAGGAGGCAAGCGUUAUCCGGAAUGAUUGGGCGUAAAGCGUCUGUAGGUGGCCAGCUAAGUCUGCUGUUAAAGAUCACAGCUCAACUGUGGGAAGGCAGUGGAAACUGGCAAGCUAGAGGUUGGUAGGGGUAAAGGGAAUUCCCGGUGUAGCGGUGAAAUGCGUAGAUAUCGGGAAGAACACCGGUGGCGAAAGCGCUUUACUGGGCCAGACCUGACACUGAAGGACGAAAGCUAGGGGAGCGAAAGGGAUUAGAUACCCCUGUAGUCCUAGCUGUAAACGAUGGAGACUAGGUGUAGCACGUAUCGACCCGUGCUGUAUCGUAGCCAACGCGUUAAGUCUCCCGCCUGGGGAGUACGCACGCAAGUGUGAAACUCAAAGGAAUUGACGGGGGCCCGCACAAGCGGUGGAGUAUGUGGUUUAAUUCGAUGCAACGCGAAGAACCUUACCAGGGCUUGACAUGUCGCGAAUCUUGAUGAAAGUUGAGAGUGCCUUCGGGAGCGCGAACACAGGUGGUGCAUGGCUGUCGUCAGCUCGUUUCGUGAGAUGUUGGGUUAAGUCCCCCAACGAGCGCAACCCUCGUCUUUAGUUGCCAAUAUUAAGUUAGGAACUCUAGAGAGACUGCCGGUGACAAACCGGAGGAAGGUGGGGAUGACGUCAAGUCAGCAUGCCCCUUACGCCCUGGGCAACACACGUACUACAAUGGUCGGGACAAAGGGCAGCGAACCUGCGAAGGGAAGCUAAUCUCAGAAACCCGGUCCCAGUUCAGAUUGCUCUCUGCAACUCGAGAGCAUGAAGGAGGAAUCGCUAGUAAUCGCCGGUCAGCAUACGGCGGUGAAUCCGUUCCCGGGCCUUGUACACACCGCCCGUCACACCAUGGAAGUUGGCCACGCCCGAAGUCGUUACCCUAACCCUUAGGGGAGGGGGAUGCCGAAGGCAGGGCUGAUGACUGGGGUGAAGUCGUAACAAGGUAGCCGUACCGGAAGGUGUGGCUGGAUCACCUCCUUU